This 304-nucleotide ribosomal RNA is filed under the name Bimichaelia sp. AP-2010. Its description in RNAcentral is "eukaryotic LSU rRNA". It matches the Rfam family "Eukaryotic large subunit ribosomal RNA", at positions 666 to 944 of the family's 3401-position model. The record is from RNAcentral. Lineage: Eukaryota; Metazoa; Arthropoda; Arachnida; Sarcoptiformes; Alycidae.
CCAAGGAGUUUAACUCUUGCGCGAGUCACUGAGACUUGAAUAGGCUCAGGGGCGAAAUGAAAGUGAAUCACGGUACGAUCGCGAAGUGUUCCGCAAGGAACGUAGCGCGCGCAGUAUCGGCCCGUCUCACCCUAGUUGAGUCUAGGCGGCGGAGCUGGAGCGCAAGGGUUGAUACCCGAAAGAUGGUGAACUAUGCCUGGGCAAGACGAAGCCAGAGGAAACUCUGGUGGAGGUCUGUAGCGAUUCUGACGUGCAAAUCGAUCGUCAGACCUGGGUAUAGGGGCGAAAGACUAAUCGAACCAUC